Molecule: ribosomal RNA, 374 nt
Filed under: Candidatus Caldarchaeum subterraneum
Lineage: Archaea; Thermoproteati; Nitrososphaerota; Candidatus Caldarchaeales; Candidatus Caldarchaeaceae
Description: bacterial SSU rRNA
Rfam family: Archaeal small subunit ribosomal RNA
Source: RNAcentral
GACUCCGGUUGAUCCUGCCGGACCUCACUGCUAUCGGGGGGAGACUAAGCCAUGCAAGUCUAGGCCCAUAGCCACCUGUGGGCCUGGCGUACGGCUCAGUAACACGUGGCCAACCUACCCUGAGGAGGCGGAUAACACCGGGAAACUGGUGCAUAAACCGCCAUAGGUGAGAGGAUCUGGAACGAUCUCUCGCCGAAAGAUGUACACGGGGAUGCCUGUGUACAUGCCUCAGGAUGGGGCUGCGGCCCAUCAGGUAGUUGGUGGGGUAACGGCCCACCAAGCCUAUAACGGGUACGGGCCCUGAGAGGGGGAGCCCGGAGAUGGACUCUGAGACAAGAGUCCAGGCCCUACGGGGCGCAGCAGGCGCGAAACCU